This 231-nucleotide ribosomal RNA is filed under the name Triticum aestivum (bread wheat). Its description in RNAcentral is "partial small subunit ribosomal RNA". Lineage: Eukaryota; Viridiplantae; Streptophyta; Magnoliopsida; Poales; Poaceae. The record is from RNAcentral.
UCAUUCGAUUUGUUGUGGAUUGGAUGAUGGAAAAACCAGCAAGCAAAAAGCAUAGUUAGAAAAGUUGUCGUAGCGCGCCCUACGGAGUUGUACAAAGUCAGCAACCGUUUUGGGGCGCAAGCAUAGGCAACACAGGACUGAUGACGGGGUGGGGCGCGCAGUGAACUGGUUUUCUAAAAAGAUUGGAAGAUCCGGCCAAAGAAGGUGAUAGCCCUGUUCAUUUGUUCCCAU